UUGGAACCACCGGUCCCCGUACGAUCAUCGAAGUUAAGUAACAUUGAGCCUUGUCAGUACCUACAUGGGUAACCUCUUGGGAAUAGCAAGUGCUGCAUG
Molecule: non-coding RNA, 99 nt
Organism: Acanthosepion pharaonis
Lineage: Eukaryota; Metazoa; Mollusca; Cephalopoda; Sepiida; Sepiidae
Source: the annotation of a GenBank genome assembly